This 1307-nucleotide long non-coding RNA is filed under the name Gossypium barbadense (sea-island cotton). RNAcentral describes it as "long non-coding RNA (GBAR_LNC004977)". Lineage: Eukaryota; Viridiplantae; Streptophyta; Magnoliopsida; Malvales; Malvaceae. The record is from RNAcentral.
UUGUAUCUUAUCAUCAUUGAGUUCAUUGAGUUUUUAAGCCAAAACCCUUUCCAAACCCUAAGGAUCUAGUGAAGGAAUUGAAUUACAAGGAAAAUUUUGGUUUCAUUUUUAUAUCUGAAUAACUCAAUUCCAUGUAACGAUACAUUUUUUUAUGUUUUUAAAUAAAAUUAAUGAAAACUUAUUAAAGUUGGGUGCCUAAUGUAGUAGCCCAUUUCUGCCCAGGCCCAUAAUUAAAUAAAUAAAAACAAUAAAAAAUAAUAGUUUUUUAUAACAGUCCAUUAAAUAAAGGCCCUUUAAAUAGUCCAUUUACAGCCAAGGCCCGUUAGCCCAAAAGCCCUAUACCCGUUACACCCAAAUACCUAACUAAACCAAUCCAAUUCUAAGCCUAUCCCAAACCCAAUAAGCAGCAGCCCAACGAAGCCCAAACUUGAAACACCAGGAGACCUAGGGUUUCCUGGGAAACCCUCGCGCCGCAGCAAGCAACACAACCCCAUGUUGCGCCGCAAUCGGCGCCUGGAUUGAGCCCCACCGCCGAAGAUUGCACUAUUAAACCUGCAAGAAAAGGAAAGAAGCAAGCAAUCAGUCAAUAAAUCAGAAUCUGAAUCGGGAUUUAGUUUUUUUAGAUUCACCUGUAAACAGUAUAAAUGGGUAAAAAACAGUGUAAAUAGGGGGAUUCAAAAGAUUUUGAAAGAAAAUACAAGUUCAGUUUUCUAUUUUAUUCGGAUUAGAACUGAAUUUUUAUUUUAUUUUCAUUUCAUUCAUAUAUACAUGAAACAAAAAAAUACCGAAAGGUUUUUGGGUUACUAUUGCUUUCGUACAAAAUAUUUUUUAAGAAAAAUAAAAGGAGAGGGUUUACCUAUGUUUCCAACGAAAAAGAGAAGUUUUUGGGCCCACUGACCGCCGUGUGUGACCGCGCGUGUGGUGGCGCGUGACGUCGGAGCUAGGCCGAUCACUGGCCGGAGCUCAGAAGGCCUUUAGAGGUUUUGAAGGAGUUUUUUUUAAAAAAACAAAGGUUAAAAUGAAUUUUAGGUUUAAAAUUAGCUUAUUUAGUAUAACCAAAACGACGCCGUUUUUUGCUUAAUUCAUAAGCCUCAAAACGACGCCGUUUAAGUAAAGGAUCCGCACGUUGACCCGUUUAACCCGGAAGGAUCUGCGCGUUUUAAUUAAAAGGGAUAUUUCCCUUCCAGGUGCUUCCGCAUUUUUAAUCUUCAUAAUUUCAUUUUAUUUUUAUUUUAAUUCGGCCCCGAUCUUUUAUACUAGUUUCAAUUUAGUCCCAGUUGUUUAAGUAAGAUUUUUUUUAAAAAACG